GUUCCACACAGCCAGUAAAAUGGACAGGAAGGUCUUUAGAGGCUGUUUUUGUGCCGCUGGGGGCCAGAAUGAGCUGACAAAUGUUUGAGAGCAAUGCAGAGCUGCGCUCUUGAAAUCUUCAUCACCUGCGAAGUUGCCUGAGCAGCGCUCACAAAUCCAUGUUGUUGUGUCGCCCCCUACAGGACAGACGCAACCUGCACUACCUGGAGCACAGGAACACGUUGCAAAAAUCACAAUCGGAGGCCUUGUAUUUGUUUGGGGUCAGCAGCACUUCCUGAUGAGGCUCCCGCUGGAGUCAGACGGCAUUCUGGGAUACGCAGAGCCUGCAGUGGCGGCUGAACUGAUGAAGGCACAUCUCCUCCAGACACUCGAGGACUUUACUUCUGUCCCAGCAGUCACACACCGUGUCCUUAAUGUCUCAUUCAGCCGCUUUCACAGCACCGCUGGGACCCGCAGAGCUGUCUGUGCUGACAAAUACAGGAGGGACAAACACCAAAAUAAACAUCACAAAAUCUGUACAGACUAGAAACGACCUGGAAACAAGUUCUUUAUUGAGUAGAAAUGUAAAUGAUUCUGCUUAGUUCAUCUUCAGUCAUGGUUUCAGGGUUUAAGGUCUCAUUUUAUGGGUAUUUUUGGUACAUGAUCACAGUAUGUUUUAAUUCUAAUGUAUUUCUAAUGUAAAACACAAGAGAUGAUCAUUUAUAAAAUAAAUGUGGCAACGAAAUCAAAUGAAAACUUUUAGGAAAAUCUGUGUACGACUGCAGAUGCAUUGGCAUUUUUUGAGGGUGUUGCAUAAGUUUUAAUAUUUUCAUUGUAGUUAAAAUUUCAGUAAGAUUUUUUUUUUUUUUUUUUACGCUUACCUCCGAAGUCCCGAUCUGAAUCAAAUGAUUCGCGAUCGGAUUGGAGCGCUUUGAAACAGUGAAUCAUUUUGUGACGCAAUGGUUUAACUGAUUCGGAGUUUUCAAAAGCUCGUUCAUUAUACGUGCUUUUUAAAAUAAUUACAACAAGCCAUGUAGAAAGUCGAAAAUGAAUGGCUCUUUUGAUCUGUUUCUGCUAAUGAAUCGAUUGAAC
Cyprinus carpio carpio is the source of this 1071-nucleotide long non-coding RNA. The record is from Ensembl. Lineage: Eukaryota; Metazoa; Chordata; Actinopteri; Cypriniformes; Cyprinidae.